GCUUCGGUAGCUCAGCAGGUAGAGCAGAGGACUGAAAAUCCUCGUGUCGGCGGUUCAACUCCGUCCUGAAGCACCA
Molecule: transfer RNA, 76 nt
Filed under: Caudoviricetes sp.
Lineage: Duplodnaviria; Heunggongvirae; Uroviricota; Caudoviricetes
Description: tRNA-Phe
Rfam family: tRNA
About the family: Transfer RNA (tRNA) molecules are approximately 80 nucleotides in length.
Source: RNAcentral